AGGACGAACGCUGGCGGCGUGCUUAACACAUGCAAGUCAAGGGGGCCCGCAAGGGUAACCGGCGAACGGGUGCGUAACACGUGAGCGACCUGCCGAUCUGCGGGGGAUAGCCGGCCCAACGGCCGGGUAAUACCGCAUACGCUCCUCUUGGGGCAUCCUGAGAUGAGGAAACCUCCGGGGGAUUUCGAGGGGCUCGCGGCCUAUCAGCUAGUUGGCGAGGUCACGGCUCACCAAGGCGACGACGGGUAGC
This 250-nucleotide ribosomal RNA is filed under the name uncultured bacterium. RNAcentral describes it as "partial small subunit ribosomal RNA". It matches the Rfam family "Bacterial small subunit ribosomal RNA", at positions 26 to 287 of the family's 1533-position model. The record is from RNAcentral.